UACAGAGGUCCCAAGCGUUGUUCGGAUUCACUGGGCGUAAAGGGUGCGUAGGUGGUAGGGUAAGUCGGAUGUGAAAGCUCGGAGCUCAACUCCGAAAUGGCAUUGGAAACUACCUUGCUCGAGGGUUGGAGGGGGGACUGGAAUGCUUGGUGUAGCAGUGAAAUGCGUAGAUAUCAAGCGGAACACCAGUGGCGAAGGCGAGUCCCUGGACAACUCCUGACACUGAGGCACGAAAGCUAGGGGAGCAAACAGG
This 253-nucleotide ribosomal RNA is filed under the name uncultured bacterium. RNAcentral describes it as "partial 16S ribosomal RNA". It matches the Rfam family "Bacterial small subunit ribosomal RNA", at positions 524 to 776 of the family's 1533-position model. The record is from RNAcentral.